RNAcentral lists this ribosomal RNA (489 nucleotides) under uncultured bacterium. Its description in RNAcentral is "partial 16S ribosomal RNA". It matches the Rfam family "Bacterial small subunit ribosomal RNA", at positions 27 to 507 of the family's 1533-position model. The record is from RNAcentral.
GGACGAACGCUGGCGGCGUGCUUAACACAUGCAAGUCGAACGAAAAUACCAAGCUUGCUUGGUUGAUUAGUGGCGAACGGGUGAGUAACACGUGAGUAACCUGCCCCUUACUUUCCUGGAUAACUGCUCGAAAGGGUAGCUAAUACGGGAUAUUCUGACCAGCCUGCAUGGGUUGGUUUGGAAAGGUUGUUUUUCUGGUAAGGGAUGGGCUCGCGGCCUAUCAGCUUGUUGGUGGGGUGAUGGCCUACCAAGGCUUUGACGGGUAGCCGGCCUGAGAGGGUGGACGGUCACACUGGGACUGAGAUACGGCCCAGACUCCUACGGGAGGCAGCAGUGGGGAAUAUUGCACAAUGGGCGCAAGCCUGAUGCAGCGACGCCGCGUGAGGGAUGAAGGCCUUCGGGUUGUAAACCUCUUUCGUCAGGGAACAAGGCACUGCUUUUUUGGUGGUGUUGAGGGUACCUGGAUAAGAAGCGCCGGCUAACUACGUG